CGAUUUCGGUUUACGCCGUUUUCUACCUUUGUCUAUACGUACCACUUGUUUCCUCGGGGGGCUUGCCCCCCGCUAGGACCUCAUAACAACCUUUGUAAUUGCAGUCAGCGUCUGAUACCUAUACAAUUAUUAAAACUUUCAACAAUGGAUCUCUUGGUUCUGGCAUCGAUGAAGAACGCAGCGAAAUGCGAUAAGUAGUGUGAAUUGCAGAAUUCAGUGAAUCAUCGAAUCUUUGAACGCACAUUGCGCCCCUUGGUAUUCCAUGGGGCAUGCCUGUUCGAGCGUCAUUUGAACCCUCAAGCUCUGCUUGGUGUUGGGUGUUGUCUCGCCUCUGCGCGCAGACUCGCCUUAAAGUCAUUGGCAGCCCUAGAAAUCGGCUUUGAGCGCAGCACAAUGCGUCCUCUUGGCUGGACUGGUGGCAUCCAAAAGCCCUUGUUUACUCUUGACCUCGGAUCAGGUAGGGAUACCCGCUGAACUUAAGCAUAUCAAUAAGCGGAGGAAAAGAAACCAACAGGGAUUGCCCUAGUAACGGCGAGUGAAGCGGCAACAGCUCAAAUUUGAAAUCUGGCCCUUUCAGGGUCCGAGUUGUAAUUUGCAGAGGGUGCUUUGGUGUUGGCUGCGGUCUAAGUUCCUUGGAACAGGACGUCAUAGAGGGUGAGAAUCCCGUCUGUGGUCGCAAGUCUUCGCCGUGUAAAGCCCCUUCGACGAGUCGAGUUGUUUGGGAAUGCAGCUCUAAAUGGGAGGUAAAUUUCUUCUAAAGCUAAAUACUGGCCAGAGACCGAUAGCGCACAAGUAGAGUGAUCGAAAGAUGAAAAGCACUUUGGAAAGAGAGUCAAACAGCACGUGAAAUUGUUGAAAGGGAAGCGCUUGCAGCCAGACUUGCUUGCAGUUGCUCAUCCGGGCGCUCGCCCGGUGCACUCUUCUGUAGGCAGGCCAGCAUCAGUUUGGGCGGUUGGAUAAAGGCCUCUGUCAUGUAUCUUCUCCGGAAGACCUUAUAGGGGAGGCGUAAUGCAACCAGCCUGG
RNAcentral lists this ribosomal RNA (1023 nucleotides) under fungal endophyte. RNAcentral's name for it is "eukaryotic LSU rRNA". The stretch from base 444 to 1023 matches the Rfam family "Eukaryotic large subunit ribosomal RNA", at positions 1 to 585 of the family's 3401-position model. The record is from RNAcentral. Lineage: Eukaryota; Fungi.